CCAAACUUGGUCAUUUAGAGGAAGUAAAAGUCGUAACAAGGUUUCCGUAGGUGAACCUGCGGAAGGAUCAUUAAUGAAUUAUGCCUCGGUUGGUUGAUGCUGGCGUCUCGACGCAUGUGCUCACCUUCUUACGGCACUCAUUAUCCAAACACCUGUGCAUCACGGAGCGAGAUGAGCUGCCUUCUGGGCGGCGAGUCUCCUCUGAUUUACAAACUCUUCUGAACUCAGAAUAUCUGCUUGUCGCAAGACAGCAAAACAAAAACUUACAACUUUUAACAACGGAUCUCUUGGCUCUCGCAUCGAUGAAGAACGCAGC
Molecule: unclassified non-coding RNA, 316 nt
Filed under: uncultured fungus
Lineage: Eukaryota; Fungi
Description: partial contains small subunit ribosomal RNA, internal transcribed spacer 1, and 5.8S ribosomal RNA
Rfam family: Eukaryotic small subunit ribosomal RNA (bases 1-73)
Source: RNAcentral